AUUCCCCUAGUAACUGCGAGUGAAGCGGGAAAAGCUCAAAUUUGAAAUCUGGCGGUCUUCUGGUCGUCCGAGUUGUAAUCUAGAGAAGCGUCUUCCGCGCUGGACCGUGUACAAGUCUCCUGGAACGGAGCGUCAUAGAGGGUGAGAAUCCCGUCUUUGACACGGACUGCCAGUGCUUUGUGAUGCGCUCUCGAAGAGUCGAGUUGUUUGGGAAUGCAGCUCAAAAUGGGUGGUGAAUUCCAUCUAAAGCUAAAUAUUGGCGAGAGACCGAUAGCGAACAAGUACCGUGAGGGAAAGAUGAAAAGCACUUUGGAAAGAGAGUUAAACAGUACGUGAAAUUGCUGAAAGGGAAACGCUUGAAGCCAGUCGCGUCGGCCGGGACUCAGCCUUGCAUUUUCGCUUGGUGUACUUUCUGGUCGACGGGCCAGCAUCAAUUUUGAUCGUCGGAUAAAGGCUGGGGAAAUGUGGCACCUUCGGGUGUGUUAUAGUCUUCUGUCGCAUGCGUCGGUUGGGAUUGAGGAACUCAGCACGCCUUUAUGGUCGGGGUUCGCCCACGUUUCGUGCUUAGGAUGCUGGCGUAAUGGCUUUAAUCGACCCGUCUUGAAACACGGACCAAGGAGUCUAACAUGCCUGCGAGUGUUCGGGUGGAAAACCCGUGCGCGUAAUGAAAGUGAAAGUUGGGACCUCUGUCGUGGAGGGCACCGACGCCCGGACCUGAACUUCUGUGACGGAUCUGCGGUAGAGCAUGUAUGUUGGGACCCGAAAGAUGGUGAACUAUGCCUGAAUAGGGCGAAGCCAGAGGAAACUCUGGUGGAGGCUCGUAGCGAUUCUGACGUGCAAAUCGAUCGUCAAAUUUGGGUAUAGGGGCGAAAGACUAAUCGAACCAU
This 887-nucleotide ribosomal RNA is filed under the name Dendrothele nivosa. Its description in RNAcentral is "eukaryotic LSU rRNA". It matches the Rfam family "Eukaryotic large subunit ribosomal RNA", at positions 74 to 943 of the family's 3401-position model. The record is from RNAcentral. Lineage: Eukaryota; Fungi; Basidiomycota; Agaricomycetes; Agaricales.